AGAGUUUGAUCCUGGCUCAGGAUAAACGCUGGCGGCGUGCCUAAUACAUGUAAGUCGAACGAGGGGACCUAGUAGUAAUACGAAGUCUCCUAGUGGCGAAUGGGUGAGUAACGCGUUGGUGACCCACCCCGAAGAGGAGGAUAACUCCGGGAAACUGGAGCUAAUACCCCAUGUGGUCAUGCGGGUUAGAGGCCGUAUGUCUAAAAGAGUAAUCUGCUUUGGGAGGGACCUGCGUCCCAUCAGCUAGUUGGUAGGGUAAUGGCCUACCAAGGCGACGACGGGUAGGGGGCCUGAGAGGGUGGCCCCCCACACUGGCACUGAAACACGGGCCAGACACCUACGGGUGGCAGCAGUAGGGAAUAUUGCACAAUGGGCGAAAGCCUGAUGCAGCAACGCCGCGUGCGCGAUGAAGGCCUUCGGGUUGUAAAGCGCUUUUCUGGAGGACGAGUAAGGACGGUACUUCAGGAAUAAGGAUCGGCUAACUACGUGCCAGCAGCCGCGGUAAUACGUAGGAUCCGAGCGUUAUCCGAAUUUACUGGGCGUAAAGCGCGUGCAGGCGGUUUGGCAAGUUGGAUGUGAAAGCUCCUGGCUCAACUGGGAGAGGCCGUUCAAGACUGCCAGACUAGAGGGCGACAGAGGGAGGUGGAAUUCCCGGUGUAGUAGUGAAAUGCGUAGAUAUCGGGAGGAACACCAGUGGCGAAGGCGGCCUCCUGGGUCGUUCCUGACGCUCAGACGCGAAAGCUAGGGGAGCGAACGGGAUUAGAAACCCCGGUAGUCCUAGCUGUAAACGAUGUGGACUUGGUGUUGGUGGGGUAAAAUCCAUCGGCGCCGUAGCUAACGCGUUAAGUCCACCGCCUGGGGACUACGGCCGCAAGGUUAAAACUCAAAGGAAUUGACGG
RNAcentral lists this ribosomal RNA (899 nucleotides) under uncultured Chloroflexota bacterium. RNAcentral describes it as "bacterial SSU rRNA". It matches the Rfam family "Bacterial small subunit ribosomal RNA", at positions 8 to 916 of the family's 1533-position model. Lineage: Bacteria; Bacillati; Chloroflexota. The record is from RNAcentral.